Callorhinchus milii (elephant shark) is the source of this 67-nucleotide non-coding RNA. The record is from the annotation of a RefSeq genome assembly. Lineage: Eukaryota; Metazoa; Chordata; Chondrichthyes; Chimaeriformes; Callorhinchidae.
GGAGCUUAGUGGUUAGAGCACUCGCCUAACAAGCGAGAGGACCUGGGUUCGAUUCCCGGGUGAAACG